UUAGAACUGCACAGGAUAAUGCCCAU
Molecule: non-coding RNA, 26 nt
Filed under: Mus musculus (house mouse)
Lineage: Eukaryota; Metazoa; Chordata; Mammalia; Rodentia; Muridae
Source: RNAcentral